RNAcentral lists this ribosomal RNA (301 nucleotides) under uncultured bacterium. RNAcentral's name for it is "bacterial SSU rRNA". It matches the Rfam family "Bacterial small subunit ribosomal RNA", at positions 29 to 319 of the family's 1533-position model. The record is from RNAcentral.
AACGAACGCUGGCGGCGCGCCUAAUACAUGCAAGUCGAGCGAGAAGACGUAGCAAUACGUUUGUAAAGCGGCGAACGGGUGAGGAAUACAUGGGUAACCUACCCUCGAGCGGGGAAUAACUAGCCGAAAGGUUAGCUAAUACCGCGUACGCUCCUUGGACUUCGGUUCAGGGAGGAAAGCGAUACCGUGGGUAUCGCGCUCUUGGAUGGGCUCAUGUCCUAUCAGUCUUGUUGGUGAGGUAACGGCUCACCAAGGCUUCGACGGGUAGCUGGUCUGAGAGGACAAUCAGCCACACUGGCAC